Long non-coding RNA from Dermochelys coriacea (leatherback sea turtle), 5839 nucleotides. RefSeq lists it as uncharacterized. The record is from RefSeq and is a predicted model, not a curated record. The transcript has 3 exons. NCBI's taxonomy places the organism in Eukaryota, Metazoa, Chordata, Testudines, Dermochelyidae.
CUGCCGGGUACUCCUAGAAUUAACCCACUAAAAAUUCUACCAAUGUUACCAGCAAACAAAAAGGCUAUCAUUUAAAUCCCAUAGUAUUCUUAUAUUCUAGCACUGAUUAAAUCCUUUUGUUUCAGAUCAGCCCAAAUGAAACUGAAAGAUUUUCAGAUUUCCCAUUGUCAAAGAAAACACUGAAAGGUUUGCAAGAAGCACAGUAUCACAUGGUAACUGAGAUACAGAGGCAGAUCAUAGGCUUGUCAUUGCCAGGUAAAGAUGUACUUGGAGCUGCAAAGACUGAAUCAGGCAAAACCUUGGCAUUUAUUAUCCCAUGCCACCACAUGAUCGGCUCUGUCCCUGUCCUCCCCACCCCCUCCCUGGAUGUGCGUCCUCAUGCCCAGAGCUCAGAACCCAUGGAAGGGCUGGUAGCAGGCGCUGCUUUCUGGAACCAGCUGCCCCACAUACCAGGGCAGUGAAGGGACACUUUGGGGCAUUGCCCUCACCUUGUUGCUGCCUCCAUCCCCAGGCAAGUGGGAUUGGCAGCGCUGGCAGAUCUACCUCUACCGGCAAACAGGAACCCAGGAGUCCCGGGCAAGGCUCACCUUGGGGGCAGACGCUGCUGUAUCCAGGGGCAAUAGGCACUAAUGGGCACAGACCAGCCUGCGCCAAGGGAGCUUGAAGACAGCUGUCACCGGAGGAUCUGGGCAGCGCGAUGGGGCCCUCCAGCCUGGCAUAAACCUGGCCCCUCCGAUGCAGCUGAGGGAGUGGUAAUGCCAUAGACACUCCCUGGAACUACACUGGGCCCGGUGCUGACUCGGGUCUCUCCUCGGCUCGCCGGACAAGCCAGGGUCGAAGUAGAGGUCGUGUUUGCUCCUGCUGCCUGGGACAAAGUCCCCCAUGAGGUGGCAGGCCAGACCUCCCUCUCUGCCUGCAAUGACCUCCUAACUGCAGCCAGUAUCCUCCGUGGGUCACAGCGUGGAUGGUAAAGGGGGGAUUUUGGGGAGGGGAUCCCAGGCAGGCUGUGUGGUCAACUCCCCUCCCUUAUUAUCCCUGAUGGCUUGAAGUGCCAGCGUCUGUCCCUUCCUUUCUCUCUGCAAAGGGUAGCUGAUGACUCACGGCAGGCACACGGUGAUCCUGCCCCCACCUCCCCACAGCUCUGCUGUGCCCCCUUCCUCCUAACCCACUGCUCCCCCUGCUAUUCUGGGCCUGGGGCCUCUCCCCAGCAGAGACCAGCGGCUUGUGCUAGGCUUCGCACUGGUUCUGUGACCUGAGUUGCAAUUAAACCCAUGUCUCUUAAAGGCAGGAGGUGAAUUCUGCUGUCACCCAGAUCUUCCCUGCCAUCCUGGGCUGUGGCUGGGAGAAAUCCCAAGGCACAAGCCAGUUCUGGUCAAUGGUCAGCUCAUUUGAGAUCUGCUUAGCCCAUCUGUGAGUUUAACCCUCUGAGACCCGAAGCUCACCUCUACUGCAUCUGGUUACAUUUAGCUCUUGAGCCCUGAUUGAGCUCAAGGCCCCAUUGUGCAGGGUGCUGUACAUCCUUCCAGUCAGAGGCAGUCCCUACCCUGAAGAGUGCAGAGUCUAAAUAGACCAAGUGGGGAGGGGAAACAGGCCUGGAGCGAGGCAGUGACUUGCACAAGGUUAGAACCCUAGUCGCUAGGCUGCGCUGCCUCUCUAUGCCAGUUUCUACGAGCAGCCUUGGCUGUGAUCUUGCCGUUGUGAUCUAUGGGGGAGGGAGUGUGGCUUCUGUUGUAUAACACCUAGCUCAGUGUGGCUGGGCCCGGUGGGGGCCUGUUGGUGCCAGCGAAUCAUAGGCUUGACAUCAUUGUAACCAAUCCCCAUGGGAGGUGAAAACCUGGCAGCUCGUUGCGCCCAGCGGCCAUCCAGCAGGAGGAUGUCAGGGUUCAGGGCUCCGUAUCCCUGGCUCCCACAGCCACCUGGCCUGUCCACCCCGGUCACUCUAGUGAAGGUCUCAGUACUCAGCUCUCUUCCCCAGCCCGAGCGAGAGGCAAGACGGUCGUGCACUGGCCCCUGCAAUCGUUAGCAGGGUGCUCGGUGUAACGUGGGCUACGUGCGCCAGACCGAGUUGUAUUAGAUCUUCAUUAGAUCCUUCGCAUCAGGAGCCAGGCCCUGGAUUGUUUACGCUCCAGCCCCUUCACCUGCCCACUUGGGCCUCUUUCCCCACUAGGUUCAUUAAAGGAAAUAAAACAGUUUUUUGGGAACCUGCUUGGUGCUCACCAGAGAGAGACAGUGAGUCCUUAGUGGCAGGGAAGCUCUGGAUUUAAUCCUUCAGCCACCAGCACUGGAGGGAUGGGGAGGGGGUGGAUUCUCUUCGGUUCUGCCCAGGUAAGAUGGAGUUUACACUGUGGGAGAUCGGGAUCUGGAGCAGCUGGGGGCAUGAGAAGGACGGGAUGUAGCUGGAAUCAGAAUAAGGCCCGGGGCUGUACUAGUGACAGUUCUUUCAUGUGGUGCUCGCAGCUUGCCCCGCCCCUUCCCCCAUCCUGGUCAGGUGUCAUCCCAGUGGAAACCCUCCCAUGGCCAGAAAUGGCAUCCAGUACGGAAAGCUAGUGGGGCUGAGGCAGGUUGCUAACGUGCAUCUAGUGGCCUGGGGAACGGGCCUCAAAGAGCUUAAAAUCUAAAUCCAUGAUGGCAGGUGAUGAUGCUGGGCUAAGAGGAAGGACUGAGGGGAGUGGAACAAGCCCAUGGGGGAGCUGUCAGCAUGUUCGUUCCUAUAGGACAAUCAUCGCUGGGGCACCAAGGGCAGAAUCUGUGUAGGUGUUAACCCCGGUGCCAUUCUCCCUCCCUGAGUUUUCAGUUGUAGCUUCAGGAUCUCUUUGCUGUUGUACAGUGUCCUUAAACAGCUGCCCUGUUUCACCCCAGAGGUGGCUGCAUUUUGGUAGUGGAUGAAAUGAUCCUUGUAGUGACCAUUUUUAAAGCACUUAGUAUUGGCUGCUGUGGAAGCUUUGCCUUCAGGAGUCCUGACCCCCUGUCAGUUACACUCCAAAUGGCAGGACGACAGAGCCUGCUUUUAAAUUCUGGCUGCGUUCCAAGGUGACCGGUCCCUGUAAACCUCUAAUCUGCUCUUCACCAUUCAUGCCCUUUGUGCCUCUGGGGCGUGGUGAAAUUCAAUUAGUCAAUUUCUCUUUGUUUCUGAUUUCUCCUGUGUUGAUUUGAAGAGGCUGGUUUUGGGGGUGGUGACUUUAAAGUUUUGUCAAACCAGCCCCCUUCCCCCAAAUAGGGGAAGUUGUGUGACGUUUUGUAACCCCAGCCUUGUGCAACUCAAUUUUUUUCUUACGGGCCUGGCCCUGAUCCUGCAACGGGAUUUCAGAAACAAGCCUAAUCUGUCCUCUCUAGGUUCUUAUUUUGCUCUUAUCACCCCAGUAUCUGAAUGCCUUCCAGUCGUGCAUUAAAUGAUGUGGCUUCACAUCUUUCAUGUGGCUUGUUCUCUCAUCCUCUCCCUUGAUGGAGAACUGAGGGCAGUGGAGUGUCUUGUCAUUUUAGAGGUUCCAGUAGGUCAAAGAAACGCAUCUGGAUUUGGGAUGGUCUCUGGUUCAUGUGGCAGGUAGUUCCACAGUCUACAACCAGACCCUGAGGAAACUCUGUCUCCUGCACAGGUGAACUUCACCGUGGUGCUAGGUGCCAUUGCACCAAUGAAGUAGAGUUGUCAGCCAUUAUCUUUCUGCCAAAGUCGUACGCUCAUUUAGAUCCCCCUUGGCGCAGGCCAUGGAGGCCUUGAAGAUGGGAACAAGAACUUGAACUUGGUUUGAAAGGCAGAGGCUCUAAGGUGAAGCAUGAGGUUGGAAGCUGCUACCCACAAGCUGGCGUGUGUUAGGUUUCUGUAAUCACAAAUGUUGGGCCUAAAACUUGUCAUGUCUCUUUAAGAGCAGUCUGGCCCUCUGAUUAAGAGACUCAGCUCUCUUCCAGAUAACUCUGAUCUCUCCUAAUUACAGGUCCCUAGAGCCCUGGUGCUGGGCCCUGCUGGGCUUUGAAUCAGGCGCUGAUUUCCCUUCAACAGAGAAUGGCUUUGUUAACCAGAUCUGUGGUCCUAAGUGGUAUGCUUUUUCCUUUCUGUAUAUCAGGGUUGAUCCCUGUCCCAGGUAUUUGAAUAAUACCUCCUGCUGCUGCAUUGGAUGCAAGAGAACUGGAUUCAUUUUGAUGAGCAAGAGCGCAGUCUAUGGUCAGAGUAAGGAAUGGGAGUUGGUAUUCCUGGCUCUGGGAUGGAGAAUGGGAUCCAGUGGUUAGAGCAGGGGACUGAGAAUCAGAACUCCUGGGUUCUAUUCCCAGCUCUGGGAGAGGAGUGGAGUCUAGUGGUUGGGGGUGGGGAGCUGAGAGUCAGGCUUCUUGGUGCUCUUUUCCAUUCUUCCACUUCCUGUGCAACAGUGGGCAAGGUCAUGUCUCCCUGCCUCAGUGUCCCUUCCCAUAAAAAAGGGAAUAGUAUCUACCUCCUGGAAGGAUUAAGGAGAUUAAGGUUUUGCUCAGUUUGUUGAAAGGUGUUACAAAAGAUUAGCGGUAUGACAACAUCUCCAUUAGCCAGCUAUCCUCUGGUGUUUAUCCUGGCGCAGGUCAGUGUGUUAGUCUAUUGUGUAAUUAGACACAGUCAAUUAGUUUCAUAUGCCAGAUUCGUGCCAUCUGACAAAACUGACAUGAAUAGAAAUGCGUUAAUAGGUCUUUAAAGGGGCUCUCUCAGCUGAAAGGCCACUGAGCUGGAAAAGAAUGGCUACAAAACCUCAGGGUUAUUAGAACGAGAGGCUUCUAAAAAUCCAGGUUGCCAUUUACUAUUUACAAGUUACCGUCAAUGGCAUGCAGGCUCCUAAAGCCUAUAAGCCCUUUGGAAAAUGUUACCCUGUUCCCGCUAUUGCUUUUGCAUAGAAGUUGCUCAGAUACUAGGGAGCUGGGCAUCCAUAUAAAACCCUGAGAUAGGUAAGUCUAUCUGCUAAGCAAAGGAAAUCUCACUAGUAUCAAUUUCACUCCUGCUUAUAGUCAGUUUCACUCUAGGGCUCUCCUAGCUGCAAGAGGGGUGGGGGACCCUUCGUCUGUUUCAAGUGGGACUUAGUUCAAAAAUAAUUGGAAUAUUUCAGGAUUUGUUUUUAGACAGCAUUGGCGGGUUUAACCAAAACUUACAUUUUUGGAGGCCAAAUUUGAAUUGACUGCUCGUUAAAUGUUUUUUAAUUACAGUAGCCCCCAGAGAUAUUGAUUGCAACCGAGGACUCCUUGUGCCUGGGUUCUGUAGGGACCUGAAAUGAACCAGUGUCUGCCCCUAAGAGCUUACAAUGGAACUCCCAAAGCUUGCAAUUGAUUAUACAGGGGGGAUCCCCCUGGAAAUCAAUGGGGCUUAGUGUCGGGGUCUGUCCAUACACUCAACUGCGGGAUUGGAGCCUCAGUUAACCCUUCGUCUUGCCACAGUGCCGAGAACCUGCAGAAUCUUAGCCCUGCUGGCGAAGGAAUGAAACUGACCAGUGCAGAGGCACUGUGUACAUUCCUAUCCUGCCCUCACUACCACAGUGUUUGGUCAUUUUUCAGUCCAUGCCAUUAGCAAGGUGACUCCCAUCUGUCCCCUGCGGUUCAUUCUUUCACCAGGGAGAGAGCUAUGUGUGCAGUGGAGGUGUUAGUUUUGGUAGGGUCUUUUUAUAUAUGCCUAUGCUGUGCUGUUUUUAUAGUGGAGAAGGCUGAUCAGAGGAGGGCACAUAGGAGGAAGAGGUGGGGAAGUCUGCCUCACCCUGGGAAACACAUCUGUGUCCUCCAACAAAAUUUGUUUCACUGGAAAAAACAAAGAAACCCCCCCAGCCCGCACUUCCUCUUUAACAGUGUGCUUUGUUGUAAACAUAUUUGAAACAAUUACCAAUAAAGUUUUGUUUAAAAA